This 659-nucleotide ribosomal RNA is filed under the name Saccharomyces cerevisiae (brewer's yeast). Its description in RNAcentral is "SSU rRNA". It matches the Rfam family "Eukaryotic small subunit ribosomal RNA", at positions 1141 to 1821 of the family's 1831-position model. Lineage: Eukaryota; Fungi; Ascomycota; Saccharomycetes; Saccharomycetales; Saccharomycetaceae. The record is from RNAcentral.
AACUUAAAGGAAUUGACGGAAGGGCACCACCAGGAGUGGAGCCUGCGGCUUAAUUUGACUCAACACGGGGAAACUCACCAGGUCCAGACACAAUAAGGAUUGACAGAUUGAGAGCUCUUUCUUGAUUUUGUGGGUGGUGGUGCAUGGCCGUUCUUAGUUGGUGGAGUGAUUUGUCUGCUUAAUUGCGAUAACGAACGAGACCUUAACCUACUAAAUAGUGGUGCUAGCAUUUGCUGGUUAUCCACUUCUUAGAGGGACUAUCGGUUUCAAGCCGAUGGAAGUUUGAGGCAAUAACAGGUCUGUGAUGCCCUUAGACGUUCUGGGCCGCACGCGCGCUACACUGACGGAGCCAGCGAGUCUAACCUUGGCCGAGAGGUCUUGGUAAUCUUGUGAAACUCCGUCGUGCUGGGGAUAGAGCAUUGUAAUUAUUGCUCUUCAACGAGGAAUUCCUAGUAAGCGCAAGUCAUCAGCUUGCGUUGAUUACGUCCCUGCCCUUUGUACACACCGCCCGUCGCUAGUACCGAUUGAAUGGCUUAGUGAGGCCUCAGGAUCUGCUUAGAGAAGGGGGCAACUCCAUCUCAGAGCGGAGAAUUUGGACAAACUUGGUCAUUUAGAGGAACUAAAAGUCGUAACAAGGUUUCCGUAGGUGAACCUGCGGA